ACUCCUACGGGAGGCAGCAGUAGGGAAUCUUCCACAAUGGACGAAAGUCUGAUGGAGCAACGCCGCGUGAACGAUGAAGGCCCUCGGGUCGUAAAGUUCUGUUGUAAGGGAAGAACAAGUGCCGCAGGCAAUGGCGGCACCUUGACGGUACCUUGCGAGAAAGCCACGGCUAACUACGUGCCAGCAGCCGCGGUAAU
RNAcentral lists this ribosomal RNA (197 nucleotides) under uncultured bacterium. Its description in RNAcentral is "partial 16S ribosomal RNA". It matches the Rfam family "Bacterial small subunit ribosomal RNA", at positions 335 to 524 of the family's 1533-position model. The record is from RNAcentral.